GACGAACGCUGGCGGCGUGCUUAACACAUGCAAGUCGAACGGAAAGGCCCUGCUUUUGUGGGGUGCUCGAGUGGCGAACGGGUGAGUAACACGUGAGUAACCUGCCCUUGACUUUGGGAUAACUUCAGGAAACUGGGGCUAAUACCGGAUAGGAGCUCCUGCUGCAUGGUGGGGGUUGGAAAGUUUCGGCGGUUGGGGAUGGACUCGCGGCUUAUCAGCUUGUUGGUGGGGUAGUGGCUUACCAAGGCUUUGACGGGUAGCCGGCCUGAGAGGGUGACCGGCCACAUUGGGACUGAGAUACGGCCCAGACUCCCACGGGAGGCAGCAGUGGGGAAUAUUGCACAAUGGGCGGAAGCCUGAUGCAGCAACGCCGCGUGCGGGAUGACGGCCUUCGGGUUGUAAACCGCUUUCGCCUGUGACGAAGCGUGAGUGACGGCAAUGGGUAAAGAAGCACCGGCUAACUACGUG
RNAcentral lists this ribosomal RNA (468 nucleotides) under uncultured bacterium. Its description in RNAcentral is "partial 16S ribosomal RNA". It matches the Rfam family "Bacterial small subunit ribosomal RNA", at positions 28 to 507 of the family's 1533-position model. The record is from RNAcentral.